This 513-nucleotide ribosomal RNA is filed under the name Scheffersomyces shehatae. RNAcentral describes it as "eukaryotic LSU rRNA". It matches the Rfam family "Eukaryotic large subunit ribosomal RNA", at positions 113 to 644 of the family's 3401-position model. The record is from RNAcentral. Lineage: Eukaryota; Fungi; Ascomycota; Pichiomycetes; Serinales; Debaryomycetaceae.
AUUUGAAAUCUGGCACCUUCGGUGUCCGAGUUGUAAUUUGAAGAAGGUAACUUUGGAGUUGGCUCUUGUCUAUGUUCCUUGGAACAGGACGUCACAGAGGGUGAGAAUCCCGUGCGAUGAGAUGUCCAACUCUAUGUAAAGUGCUUUCGAAGAGUCGAGUUGUUUGGGAAUGCAGCUCUAAGUGGGUGGUAAAUUCCAUCUAAAGCUAAAUAUUGGCGAGAGACCGAUAGCGAACAAGUACAGUGAUGGAAAGAUGAAAAGAACUUUGAAAAGAGAGUGAAAAAGUACGUGAAAUUGUUGAAAGGGAAGGGUUUGAGAUCAGACUUGGUAUUUUGUAUGUCUUGCUUUCGGGUGGGGCCUCUGCAGUUUACUGGGCCAGCAUCGGUUUGGACGGUAGGAUAAUGACAUUGGAAUGUGGCACUACUUCGGUGGUGUGUUAUAGACUUUGUUGAUACUGCCUGUCUAGACCGAGGACUGCGUCUUUGACUAGGAUGCUGGCAUAAUGAUCCUAAA